ACUAAAUGUCAAACAUUCUUA
This 21-nucleotide microRNA is filed under the name Dasypus novemcinctus (nine-banded armadillo). Its description in RNAcentral is "dno-miR-190b-3p". Its record names the gene dno-miR-190b-3p. Lineage: Eukaryota; Metazoa; Chordata; Mammalia; Cingulata; Dasypodidae. The record is from miRBase by way of RNAcentral.